UACGUAGGGCGCAAGCGUUGUCCGGAAUUAUUGGGCGUAAAGAGCUCGUAGGCGGCCUGUUGCGUCCGCUGUGAAAUCCCGGGGCUCAACCCCGGGCCGCAGUGGAUACGGGCUGGCUAGAGGCAGGCAGGGGAGAACGGAAUUCCUGGUGUAGCGGUGAAAUGCGCAGAUAUCGGAAGGAACACCAGUGGCGAAAGCGGCUUCCUGGUCCAGCACCGACGUCAGGCACGAAAGC
RNAcentral lists this ribosomal RNA (235 nucleotides) under uncultured bacterium. Its description in RNAcentral is "partial 16S ribosomal RNA". It matches the Rfam family "Bacterial small subunit ribosomal RNA", at positions 524 to 760 of the family's 1533-position model. The record is from RNAcentral.